RNAcentral lists this ribosomal RNA (1161 nucleotides) under Salmonella enterica. Its description in RNAcentral is "bacterial LSU rRNA". It matches the Rfam family "Bacterial large subunit ribosomal RNA", at positions 1 to 1194 of the family's 2925-position model. The record is from RNAcentral. Lineage: Bacteria; Pseudomonadati; Pseudomonadota; Gammaproteobacteria; Enterobacterales; Enterobacteriaceae.
GGGUUGUGAGGUUAAGCGACUAAGCGUACACGGUGGAUGCCCUGGCAGUCAGAGGCGAUGAAGGACGUGCUAAUCUGCGAUAAGCGCCGGUAAGGUGAUAUGAACCGUUAUAACCGGCGAUUUCCGAAUGGGGAAACCCAGUGUGACUCGUCACACUAUCAUUAACUGAAUCCAUAGGUUAAUGAGGCGAACCGGGGGAACUGAAACAUCUAAGUACCCCGAGGAAAAGAAAUCAACCGAGAUUCCCCCAGUAGCGGCGAGCGAACGGGGAGGAGCCCAGAGCCUGAAUCAGCAUGUGUGUUAGUGGAAGCGUCUGGAAAGGCGCGCGAUACAGGGUGACAGCCCCGUACACAAAAGCGCAUGUGCUGUGAGCUCGAUGAGUAGGGCGGGACACGUGGUAUCCUGUCUGAAUAUGGGGGGACCAUCCUCCAAGGCUAAAUACUCCUGACUGACCGAUAGUGAACCAGUACCGUGAGGGAAAGGCGAAAAGAACCCCGGCGAGGGGAGUGAAAAAGAACCUGAAACCGUGUACGUACAAGCAGUGGGAGCACCCUUUGGGGUGUGACUGCGUACCUUUUGUAUAAUGGGUCAGCGACUUAUAUUCUGUAGCAAGGUUAACCGAAUAGGGGAGCCGGAGGGAAACCGAGUCUUAAUUGGGCGUUAAGUUGCAGGGUAUAGACCCGAAACCCGGUGAUCUAGCCAUGGGCAGGUUGAAGGUUGGGUAACACUAACUGGAGGACCGAACCGACUAAUGUUGAAAAAUUAGCGGAUGACCUGUGGCUGGGGGUGAAAGGCCAAUCAAACCGGGAGAUAGCUGGUUCUCCCCGAAAGCUAUUUAGGUAGCGCCUCGUGAAUUCAUCUCCGGGGGUAGAGCACUGUUUCGGCUAGGGGGCCAUCCCGGCUUACCAACCCGAUGCAAACUGCGAAUACCGGAGAAUGUUAUCACGGGAGACACACGGCGGGUGCUAACGUCCGUCGUGAAGAGGGAAACAACCCAGACCGCCAGCUAAGGUCCCAAAGUCAUGGUUAAGUGGGAAACGAUGUGGGAAGGCCCAGACAGCCAGGAUGUUGGCUUAGAAGCAGCCAUCAUUUAAAGAAAGCGUAAUAGCUCACUGGUCGAGUCGGCCUGCGCGGAAGAUGUAACGGGGCUAAACCAUGCAC